UACGUAGGCAGCAAGCGUUGUUCGGAGUUACUGGGCGUAAAGGGUGUGUAGGCGGUUAUUUAAGUUUGGUGUGAAAUCUCCCGGCUCAACCGGGAGGGUGCGCCGAAUACUGAAUGACUUGGAGUGCGGGAGAGGAAAGUGGAAUUCCUGGUGUAGCGGUGAAAUGCGUAGAUAUCAGGAGGAACACCGGUGGUGUAGACGGCUUUCUGGACCGUAACUGACGCUGAGACACGAAAGCGUGGGGAGCGAACAGG
Molecule: ribosomal RNA, 254 nt
Filed under: uncultured bacterium
Lineage: Bacteria
Description: partial 16S ribosomal RNA
Rfam family: Bacterial small subunit ribosomal RNA
Source: RNAcentral